UGGGGAAUCUUGCGCAAUGGGCGGAAGCCUGACGCAGCAACGCCGCGUGAGGGAUGACGGCCUUCGGGUUGUAAACCUCUUUCGCGAUCGACGAAGGUCCAUCUUGUGGGUGGGCUGACGGUAGGUCGAGAAGAAGCACCGGCCAACUACGUGCCAGCAGCCGCGGUAAUACGUAGGGUGCGAGCGUUGUCCGGAAUUAUUGGGCGUAAAGAGCUCGUAGGCGGUGUGUCACGUCGGCCGUGAAAACCUGGGGCUCAACUCUGGGCGUGCGGUCGAUACGGGCAUCACUAGAGUUCGGCAGGGGAGACUGGAAUUCCUGGUGUAGCGGUGAAAUGCGCAGAUAUCAGGAGGAACACCGGUGGCGAAGGCGGGUCUCUGGGCCGAUACUGACGCUGAGGAGCGAAAGCAUGGGGAGCGAA
This 419-nucleotide ribosomal RNA is filed under the name uncultured bacterium. RNAcentral describes it as "bacterial SSU rRNA". It matches the Rfam family "Bacterial small subunit ribosomal RNA", at positions 355 to 772 of the family's 1533-position model. The record is from RNAcentral.